UACGGGGGGGGCAAGCGUUGUUCGGAAUUACCGGGCGUAAAGGGCUCGUAGGUGGCCAACUAAGUCAGACGUGAAAUCCCUCAGCUUAACUGGGGAACUGCGUCUGAUACUGGAUGGCUUGAGUUUGGGAGAGGGAUGCGGAAUUCCAGGUGUAGCGGUGAAAUGCGUAGAUAUCUGGAGGAAUACCGGUGGCGAAGGCGGCAUCCUGGACCGAGAUUGACACUGAUGAGCGAAAGCUAGGGGAGCAAACGGG
Molecule: ribosomal RNA, 253 nt
Filed under: uncultured bacterium
Lineage: Bacteria
Description: partial 16S ribosomal RNA
Rfam family: Bacterial small subunit ribosomal RNA
Source: RNAcentral